This 460-nucleotide ribosomal RNA is filed under the name uncultured bacterium. RNAcentral's name for it is "partial 16S ribosomal RNA". It matches the Rfam family "Bacterial small subunit ribosomal RNA", at positions 338 to 795 of the family's 1533-position model. The record is from RNAcentral.
CCUACGGGAGGCAGCAGUGAGGAAUAUUGGUCAAUGGACGAGAGUCUGAACCAGCCAAGUAGCGUGAAGGAUGACUGCCCUAUGGGUUGUAAACUUCUUUUAUAUGGGAAUAAAAUGUUCCACGUGUGGGAUUUUGUAUGUACCAUAUGAAUAAGGAUCGACUAACUCCGUGCCAGCAGCCGCGGUAAUACGGAGGAUCCGAGCGUUAUCCGGUUUUAUUGGGUUUCAAGGGAGCGUAGGUGGAUUUGUAAGUCAGUUGUGAAAGUUUGCGGCUCAACCGUAAAAUUGCAGUUGAAACUGGCAGGCUUGAGGACAGUAGAGGUGGGCGGAAUUCGUGGUGUAGCGGUGAACUGCUUAGAUAUCACGAAGAACUCCGAUUGCGAAGGCAGUUCACUGGACUGCAACUGACACUGAGGCUCGAAAGUGUGGGUAUCAAACAGGAUUAGAUACCCUAGUAGUC